GGCCGCGGUACCCUAACCGUGCAAAGGUAGCACAAUCACUUGUUCUUUAAAUAGGGACUAGUAUGAACGGCACCACGAAGACCAUGCUGUCUCCUUUUUCUAAUCAGUGAAACUGAUCUCCCCGUGAAGAAGCGGGGAUUAUUUUAUAAGACGAGAAGACCCUAUGAAGCUUAAAAUUUUCAUCAACUGCCCCCCAUACACCACCUUAACCUGGCAGACCUGAUUACUAAUUUUUGGUUGGGGUGACCGCGGAGCAAAAUUAAACCUCCACAAUGAAAGGAUUAAACCCCUUAUUCAAGAAUCACACUUCUAAAAAUCAAUAUAUUGACAUAAAUUGAUCCAAACCUUUGAUCAAUGAACCAAGUUACUCUAGGGAUAACAGCGCAAUCCAUUUCAAGAGCCCCUAUCGACAAAUGGGUUUACGACCUCGAUGUUGGAUCAGGGUGUCCUAGUGGUGCAACCGCUACUAAAGGUUCGUUUGUUCAACGAUUAAAACCCUACGUGAUCUGA
This 510-nucleotide ribosomal RNA is filed under the name Arthroleptis xenodactyloides (Chirinda screeching frog). RNAcentral's name for it is "partial large subunit ribosomal RNA". It matches the Rfam family "Bacterial large subunit ribosomal RNA", at positions 1929 to 2608 of the family's 2925-position model. The record is from RNAcentral. Lineage: Eukaryota; Metazoa; Chordata; Amphibia; Anura; Arthroleptidae.